UUGAAAUACCGAACUUAAAAAUGCAAGAUUUUGUGUCCAUUGAUUCAAAUGUAUUUCUUGCAAUCAUAGUACUGAUUAUAUCAUAUCCAAUGCACGAAAAAAGAAAUGUAUAUGUUGGGCCCGUUCUUGCAUUGGUCGACCAAAUUGAGGGAUAAAUUGGUAAAUUUUUCACUUGGGUCAUAGAUACAUCUUUGCAUCAUCGGUAUCUUUCCCUUUGAAGUUUGAAUCAAUGUCUCUCUCUUUUAAGAAGCACUCCCUCAAUCUCUCUCUCUACACAUACCUAAAUCCUAAGGAUGGAACAAGAGAAAGCUCCAAGGAAGACACCAAACCCAGCCUAUGGUCGUUUGUUCACAUAAACGUAACAAAAUUAUAAAGAGGAAGUUGGAAACAUGAGCGUCAAAGAGAGGUAACCGACAAAAAGAUACUCUUUCAAUUAAAUGGAAUCACGCCUGGUGAUCCAAGAGGUGCUACCGGCAGCUUUUGAAACGAAGAUAGGAACACAAGGACGUUCGAACGCAGUACCUGCUUGAAUACUAUGGGCAAGCUAAAAGAAACAAACUACUGAUGUUCUGAAGUUGCAAUAUACACACGAGAAUGCAAAUACAGAUUUGAAGAUGCAUCGACGAUAUACACACAAGAAGGCAAAUGUCUGCACCUGUUAACUUUUUGACUAACUUACAAGAUGUAUAUAACUUACUACAUAACAUUUGGUGUUAAUUAAUAAAGUAGAUCACGUAUUCUAGGA
Nicotiana tabacum (common tobacco) is the source of this 745-nucleotide long non-coding RNA. RefSeq lists it as uncharacterized. NCBI's taxonomy places the organism in Eukaryota, Viridiplantae, Streptophyta, Magnoliopsida, Solanales, Solanaceae. The record is from RefSeq and is a predicted model, not a curated record.